RNAcentral lists this ribosomal RNA (333 nucleotides) under uncultured bacterium. Its description in RNAcentral is "partial 16S ribosomal RNA". It matches the Rfam family "Bacterial small subunit ribosomal RNA", at positions 338 to 682 of the family's 1533-position model. The record is from RNAcentral.
CCUACGGGAGGCAGCAGUCGAGAAUCAUUCACAAUGGGGGAAACCCUGAUGGGGCGACGCCGCGUGGGGGAAUGAAGGUCUGCGGAUUGUAAACCCCUGUCAUGGGGGAGCAAAUUAAAAAGAUAGUACCACAAGAGGAAGAGACGGCUAACUCUGUGCCAGCAGCCGCGGUAAUACAGAGGUCUCAAGCGUUGGUCGGAACCACUGGGCGUAAAGCGUGCGUAGGCUGUUUCGUAAGUCGUGUGUGAAAGGCGCGGGCUCAACCCGCGGACGGCCCCUGAUACUGCGAGACUAGAGUACUGGAGUGGUCACCGCUCUUCUCGGUGUCGCCGU